RNAcentral lists this ribosomal RNA (274 nucleotides) under uncultured bacterium. RNAcentral's name for it is "partial 16S ribosomal RNA". It matches the Rfam family "Bacterial small subunit ribosomal RNA", at positions 523 to 796 of the family's 1533-position model. The record is from RNAcentral.
AUACGGAGGGUGCAAGCGUUAUUCGGAAUCACUGGGCGUAAAGGACGCGUAGGCGGGUUGGCAAGUCAGAUGUGAAAUCCUACAGCUUAACUGUAGAACUGCAUUUGUAACUGCUAACCUAGAGUAUGGGAGGGGGAGAUGGAAUUAGUGGUGUAGGGGUAAAAUCCGUAGAUAUCACUAGGAAUACCGAAAGCGAAGGCGAUCUCCUGGAACAUAACUGACGCUAAGGCGUGAAAGCGUGGGGAGCAAACAGGAUUAGAAACCCUAGUAGUCC